Molecule: ribosomal RNA, 429 nt
Filed under: Pseudomonadota bacterium
Lineage: Bacteria; Pseudomonadati; Pseudomonadota
Description: Proteobacteria bacterium partial 16S ribosomal RNA
Rfam family: Bacterial small subunit ribosomal RNA
Source: RNAcentral
UGGGGAAUAUUGGACAAUGGGCGAACGCCUGAUCCAGCCAUGCCGCGUGUGUGAAGAAGGUCUUCGGAUUGUAAAGCACUUUAAGUUGGGAGGAAGGGCAGUAAGCGAAUACCUUGCUGUUUUGACGUUACCGACAGAAUAAGCACCGGCUAACUCUGUGCCAGCAGCCGCGGUAAUACAGAGGGUGCAAGCGUUAAUCGGAAUUACUGGGCGUAAAGCGCGCGUAGGUGGUUCGUUAAGUUGAAUGUGAAAGCCCCGGGCUCAACCAGGGAACUGCAGCCAAUACUGGCGAGCUAGAGUAGGGCAGAGGGUGGUGGUAUUUCCUGUGUAGCGGUGAAAUGCGUAGAUAUAGGAAGGAACACCAGUGGCGAAGGCGACCACCUGGGCUCAUACUGACACUGAGGUGCGAAAGCGUGGGGGGCAAACAGG